This 513-nucleotide ribosomal RNA is filed under the name uncultured bacterium. Its description in RNAcentral is "partial 16S ribosomal RNA". It matches the Rfam family "Bacterial small subunit ribosomal RNA", at positions 30 to 523 of the family's 1533-position model. The record is from RNAcentral.
AUUGAACGCUGGCGGCGUGCUUAACACAUGCAAGUCGAACGUGAAAGUCCUUCGGGGCGAGUAAAGUGGCGCACGGGUGAGUAACGCAUGGAUAAUCUACCCUUAAGAUGGGGAUAACGGCUGGAAAAGGUCGCUAAUACCGAAUACGCUCCCGAUUCUACCGUUGGGGGGAAAGAUGGCCUAUGCUUGCAAGACAUCGAUUAAGGAUGCUUCCGCGUCCCAUUAGCUAGUUGGCGGGGUAACGGCCCACCAAGGCGACGAUGGGUAGCCGGUCUGAGAGGAUGACCGGCCACACUGGAACUGGAACACGGCCCAGACUCCUACGGGAGGCAGCAGUGGGGAAUAUUGCGCAAUGGGCGAAAGCCUGACGCAGCGACGCCGCGUGAGGGAUGAAGGUUCUCGGAUCGUAAACCUCUGUCAGGGGGGAAGAAACCCCCUCGUGUGAAUAAUGCGAGGGCUUGACGGUACCCCCAAAGGAAGCACCGGCUAACUCCGUGCCAGCCGCCGCGGUAA